GCCUGGGUGGCUCAGUAGGUUAAGCAUCUGACUUCCAGUCAGGUCAUAAUCUCAAGGUCUGUGGGCUCAAGUCCUGCAUCAGGCU
This 85-nucleotide transfer RNA is filed under the name Felis catus (domestic cat). It matches the Rfam family "tRNA". Rfam says of the family: Transfer RNA (tRNA) molecules are approximately 80 nucleotides in length. Their secondary structure includes four short double-helical elements and three loops (D, anti-codon, and T loops). The record is from Rfam by way of RNAcentral. Lineage: Eukaryota; Metazoa; Chordata; Mammalia; Carnivora; Felidae.